CUCUAUGAAGAUUUUGUUUACAAAUCGAAAUCAAUCAAUGUCUAAAGUCUUUGAAUUGUGGGUGAACAUGAUUCGAAAGAAGAAGAACGAGAGGCUUCUAAUGUUCAAAGAAUGUAUGCAAGGAUCUAAUCUUGUGAUAGAAUGGUUAUUGCUUUGAUUUCACUUGAAGAGACUUUAGUUUAUAAUUUGUUUGGUUUGGCUUUCUGGAGUAAUAUUACCAUUUUGGAAAUGUAGUAUCUUGUUUUGGUUGCGUAUUGUUUUGGGGGCAUUUAAGAAUUACUUGACCUUGAUUGUUUGAUGGAGUUGUUAAGAAGGAAGAGAAAGGGCCUAGAAGUUUUGCCAUUAUGUGGCAAAUCCUUGACUUCAUCUGCUAUUAUUUGGUCUCACUUGUCACUGGGAGAUUAUUCAAGGCAGAAGAAGAAGUGCAAGGAAGAUGAAGAUAAGGAAGUUGGUUCCCCUAGGAGUGUAGUUAAAGGAAUUGUCACUGCCCCCCAUUUUAGGAGUUCCUCUUUAGAUCCACCUUGUAGGGGUCUUAAGAGGAAAAUUGGUUGUAUUGAUGUAGCAACACAAUUGGGUCGGAAGAAAAAGAUCGAGCAACAAUAUGAUUUGGGUGCAACAAUUGGGAAAGGUAAGUUUGGAUCUGUAGUGUUGUGUAGAAGUAAAGUGACUGGAGAAGAAUUUGCAUGCAAAAUGUUGCGCAAGGGUGAGGAUCUUGUGCAUCGAGAGGUGGAGAUAAUGCAGCACCUUUCUGGUCAUCCAGGCAUUGUAACAUUGAAGGCUGUGUAUGAGGAUUCAGAAUCUUUCUAUCUUGUGAUGGAGCUUUGUUCUGGGGGGCGAUUGCUUGACCAGAUGGCUAGGGAAGGGCAAUAUUCAGAGCAUCACGCUGCUAAUGUACUGAGGGAGUUGAUUUCAGUUAUCAAAUAUUGCCAUGAUAUGGGUGUUGUUCAUCGGGACAUAAAGCCUGAAAAUAUCCUUGUUACGACUUCUGGGCAAAUGAAGCUUGCAGAUUUUGGGCUAGCUAUGAGGAUUUCAAAUGGUCAGAGCCUUACAGGUGUAGUUGGAAGUCCUGCCUAUGUUGCCCCAGAAGUUCUACUUGGCAACUAUUCAGAAAAGGCUGAUAUUUGGAGUGCUGGUGUCCUCCUUCAUGCUCUGUUGGUUGGCAUUCUUCCAUUUCAAGGUGACUCUUUGGAUGCAGUAUUUGAGGCAAUUAAGAAGGUUAACCUAGAUUUUGAGAGUGGGUUAUGGGAGUCAGUAUCCCAACCUGCAAGGGAUCUCGUUGCCAGAAUGCUCAAUAGGGAUGUUUCAUCAAGACUAACUGCUGAUGAAUUACUAAUUAAAUCAGUUGCUAAAAAGUCCAUGUUGAAGGGCAUCCGUGGAUCUUGUUCCAUACAGAACCAACUUUGAAGUUACGUACAGUAAAACCGAAGUUAGGAAACCAUGUAAGAUUGACUUUCCAAAGACUAACUGGCAAAGAUGGGUUGGAGUCUGAGAGAAUCGAUAUAACAACCAGCAGCUUUCUCAGUGAUGACACUAGCCUAAUUUUAUCAUCUGGUGGUUCAAUAAAGAGGUUGGACGAGCAAGACUGUGGAUUCGUUGAUGUCCUUGCUGUGGCAAUGUCUCGUGUAAGGAUAUCCGAACCAAAGAGAAGCAGGUUGUGUGGUCCUACCAGCCCUAUUCGACGAGAAUGUUCCUCUAACAUUAAGGUUGACAAUCUCUGCACAGCAUUCUGAUCCUGCUUUUGAAAUGCUGACUCAACUGUUAGGUAUUACCCCUAUUAGCUAUAGCUGGAACUAAAGAUAACCUACUGUGGCAAGAGACUUGUGAAGACUAAGUGCAGUACCAAUAAAAUGACCUUGUGGGUAAAAUGAAGUGUUAACUCUUAAAGCAUGUUUCUUCUUGAGUGAUAACCUUGUAAUUUUUAAUUAGUGUGUGUUUGGAUAUAUUUUCACUGUUUAGCCUGACUUGGCAUGUUGUGAAAACAUGGAUUGUAAUAAGUCUUCACAAGUCUCUUGCCACAGUAG
This 2021-nucleotide unclassified non-coding RNA is filed under the name Hevea brasiliensis (rubber tree). Lineage: Eukaryota; Viridiplantae; Streptophyta; Magnoliopsida; Malpighiales; Euphorbiaceae. The record is from RNAcentral.